UACGUAGGGAGCAAGCGUUGUCCGGAAUCAUUGGGCGUAAAGCGCGCGUAGGCGGCCUCAUAAGUCCGUUGUGAAAGUCAAAGGCUCAACCUUUGAAAGCCGAUGGAUACUGUGAGGCUAGAGUCCGGAAGAGGCGAGUGGAAUUCCUGGUGUAGCGGUAAUGCGCAGAUAUCAGGAGGAACACCAAUAGCGAAGGCAGCUCGCUGGGACGGUACUGACGCUAAGGCGCGAAAGCGUGGGGAGCGAACAGG
RNAcentral lists this ribosomal RNA (251 nucleotides) under uncultured bacterium. RNAcentral's name for it is "partial 16S ribosomal RNA". It matches the Rfam family "Bacterial small subunit ribosomal RNA", at positions 524 to 776 of the family's 1533-position model. The record is from RNAcentral.